RNAcentral lists this long non-coding RNA (1834 nucleotides) under Malus domestica (apple). Its description in RNAcentral is "long non-coding RNA (MDOM_LNC021275)". Lineage: Eukaryota; Viridiplantae; Streptophyta; Magnoliopsida; Rosales; Rosaceae. The record is from RNAcentral.
UAGGAGAAAAUGGAGUGGUAUGUGCAGCAAUGAUUCAAUGAAGUGGUUCUGAAAUGAUUCAAAGGUGAAAGUGAAGUAAUGAUGCACGGCAUGGGAGGUAAAUGGAGUGGUGUGUGCAGCAAUGAUUCAAUGGAGUGGUGCUGAAAUGAUUCAUUGAAGGGGACAUGGAAUGGUGCAGCAAUGAGUGCAUGGAGUGGAGGUUAAAGUGAUGAAAUGGUGCAUGAAAUCUGAAAUGAUGGAGGGGACAAUGAAUGGUGCAGCAAUGAGUGCAUGGAGUGGAGGUUAAAGUGAUGAAAUGGUGCAUGAAAUCUGAUAUGAUGGAGGGGACAAGGAAUGGUGCAGCAAUGAGUGCAUGGAGUGGAGGUUAAAGUGAUGAAAUGGUGCAUGAAAUCUGAAAUGAUGGAGGGGACAAUGAAUGUGCACGGCAUGGGUGGAUUUCUGCACUCUUUGCCUUGUGUUCUAGCUCACUUCCACAUGUCCUAGCCGUUAGACAACUUUCACACACAUGUUUUGCAUCAUUUCAUCUUGCAAACACCAACUUUUAGCCACUUUACACCUCUUCACACAUGCACCUGCUGUUAGAUACUUUCACACACAUGCUAUGCAUCAUUUCAGCUUGCAAUUAUGUUUGUAGUUGCUGGAAAUGUGAACACAACUUGUAAAGCAAUCCAACAAAUGGCAUAUUUCACUUCUUUUCCUUUCAAAUUGUUCCUUAAGAGUAUGUAUCUGCACACUUCCACACUUCAACUUCAUUAUUCAGAUUUUUGCAUAUGUUGAAACCCUUUUUAAAACACCAAAAACGUCCAUCCAACUUGCUCCAUAUGCAUGCAAUCCACUUCAACCCAAAAUUGCUCCAAAAUGCACUUUCUUGCCAACUUUGUUAUUAGGACCUACAAACACACGAAAAUAGCUUCAAAUACAAAAUUGACUAAGAAAUAACAACAUAAAUGAACAAGAACAAGCUAACUAAGUCGCAUAAAUAUGCUCCUCUCAAGUGGCUACUUUACAUGUUUACAUCAAUCUUCUCACAUAUACCUAGUAUAGGGAGUGUAGUCAGAAAAUCUGUGUGAAAAUAGAGAGUAUUCCGCUGAGGAAUUGAGGGAAUUCUCUAAGGCGUGUUACUACAUCAAAACGAUGUUUUAAAUUGAUUACAUGCGAUCUAAUGAGUGGUGACUGUGAUUAAGUAUGCGCUUGAGGGUAAGGAUAACUAAAAUAUGUCGGAGUAGUUAUUUUUAACAUGUCAUGUUUCAUUGGAAAUCCCUGAGGUGAAUGUUGGAAGGUCUAGUUUAUGUUUUGUUUGUUUCGUUUUGCUCGAGGACUAGCAAAAGCUAAGUGUGGGGGAAUUUGAUAAGAGCAUAUUUAUGCGACUUAGUUAGCUUAUUUUCUUGCAUUUAUGUUGUUAGUUCUUACUUAUUAUAGUGUGUUUGUAGGUCCAAAUGACAAAGUGGGCAAGAAAGUGCAUUUUGGAGCAUUUUGGAGCAGUUUUGAGCCAAGAAUGGAUAACAUAUGAAUGGAGCACGGUGGAUGAACGUUUUUGAAUUUCAAGAUGCUAGGAAUAUGUUGAAGAGAUGAAGAAAAUAAAUUCAAGACAAAAGAAGAUAAGGAAUCAGCUAAAAAGAAUGAACAUUAUCCAAAACCUUAUAUGACCUUAUCUUAUCCAAACUAACCUUAUCUUAUCUUAUCUUAUCCUAUCCUAUCCUAAUCCAAUCCUACCUUAAUUCUAACUGCAAGGAGGACUUAAUUUCAUAUUAGAUCACCUAAAAACAUGGUUCUAGAAGCCUUAUCACUCAUCCUAAGAAUGUGCCGCACCAGCCUUCUAGAAAUCAUAUUUCCA